UACGAAGGGUGCAAGCGUUAUUCGGAAUCACUGGGCGUAAAGGGCGCGUAGGCGGUUUGUUAAGUCUGAUGUGAAAGCCCUGGGCUCAACCUGGGAAUUGCAUUGGAUACUGGCAGGCUAGAGUGCGGUAGAGGGUAGUGGAAUUCCCGGUGUAGCAGUGAAAUGCGUAGAGAUCGGGAGGAACACCAGUGGCGAAGGCGACUACCUGGACCGGCACUGACGCUGAGGCGCGAAAGCGUGGGGAGCAAACAGG
RNAcentral lists this ribosomal RNA (253 nucleotides) under uncultured bacterium. Its description in RNAcentral is "partial 16S ribosomal RNA". It matches the Rfam family "Bacterial small subunit ribosomal RNA", at positions 524 to 776 of the family's 1533-position model. The record is from RNAcentral.